Molecule: ribosomal RNA, 475 nt
Filed under: uncultured organism
Description: partial 16S ribosomal RNA
Rfam family: Bacterial small subunit ribosomal RNA
Source: RNAcentral
ACUCCUACGGGAGGCAGCAGUGGGGAAUAUUGCACAAUGGGCGCAAGCCUGAUGCAGCCAUGCCGCGUGUAUGAAGAAGGCCUUCGGGUUGUAAAGUACUUUCAGCGGGGAGGAAGGCGAUAAGGUUAAUAACCUUGUUGAUUGACGUUACCCGCAGAAGAAGCACCGGCUAACUCCGUGCCAGCAGCCGCGGUAAUACGGAGGGUGCAAGCGUUAAUCGGAAUUACUGGGCGUAAAGCGCACGCAGGCGGUCUGUCAAGUCGGAUGUGAAAUCCCCGGGCUCAACCUGGGAACUGCAUUCGAAACUGGCAGGCUAGAGUCUUGUAGAGGGGGGUAGAAUUCCAGGUGUAGCGGUGAAAUGCGUAGAGAUCUGGAGGAAUACCGGUGGCGAAGGCGGCCCCCUGGACAAAGACUGACGCUCAGGUGCGAAAGCGUGGGGAGCAAACAGGAUUAGAUACCCCAGUAGUCCCAUGAU